GUGAGGAAUAUUGGUCAAUGGGCGAAAGCCUGAACCAGCCAUGUCGCGUGAAGGAUGAAGGUCCUAUGGAUUGUAAACUUCUUUUGCAGGAGGGUAAAGUGAGCUACGUGUAGUUCAUUGCAAGUACCCUGCGAAUAAGCAUCGGCUAACUCCGUGCCAGCAGCCGCGGUAAUACGGAGGAUGCGAGCGUUAUCCGGAUUUAUUGGGUUUAAAGGGUGCGUAGGCGGACUAAUUAGUCAGCGGUGAAAUUUUGCGGCUCAACCGUAAAACUGCCGUUGAAACUGUUAGUCUUGAGUGCGGUAGAGGUAGGCGGAAUGUGUGGUGUAGCGGUGAAAUGCUUAGAUAUCACACAGAACACCGAUUGCGUAGGCAGCUUACUGGAGCGCAACUGACGCUGAGGCACGAAAGCGUGGGGAUCGAACAGGAUUAGAUACCCCUGUAGUCC
Molecule: ribosomal RNA, 445 nt
Filed under: uncultured bacterium
Lineage: Bacteria
Description: partial 16S ribosomal RNA
Rfam family: Bacterial small subunit ribosomal RNA
Source: RNAcentral